UACUGAAAAACUACUUUAGUUUUUGGUUCCAUCCUAUUGUUUAAUUCACCCUGUUGCUUCCACUGGAAUAAGCUCCCCAUACCUUGUGUGCGGGAGCUUUUGGUCAUAGAUGCCAGCCAGUGGGAAGACCAUUUAUAAAAAUUUGUUGAGAACCACUUUGUCUGAAUAUUUUGCUCCAAUAUAAUAAAACUUUCAACAACGGAUCUCUAGGCUCUUGCAUCGAUGAAGAACGCAGUGAAAUGCGAUAAGUAAUGUGAAUUGCAGAAUCUCGUGAAUCAUCGAAUCUUUGAACGCACAUUGCGCCCUAUGGCAUUCCACAGGGCAUGCCUGUCUGAGCGUCAGCUCCCCCCAGCUCAAGCAUCCAUUUAAUGAUGCUUGGAUUUCUUUGGAGAGGUAUCACUUUUUAUCAAGAGAAGCCCUCCAGAAAUUCAUAGGCAGUAUGGUUUGCACUGGAACCAGACGUCAUAAUAAUAAAAUCGUUUGUUGUGGUAUAAUCAUUGUACUUGCCUUGCAAACACCCAUUGAUUUUCGGGUG
Molecule: unclassified non-coding RNA, 535 nt
Filed under: Pezizaceae sp. 2 CG-2012
Lineage: Eukaryota; Fungi; Ascomycota; Pezizomycetes; Pezizales; Pezizaceae
Description: sequence contains ITS1, 5.8S rRNA gene, ITS2
Rfam family: 5.8S ribosomal RNA (bases 188-341)
Source: RNAcentral